Molecule: long non-coding RNA, 228 nt
Filed under: Carica papaya (papaya)
Lineage: Eukaryota; Viridiplantae; Streptophyta; Magnoliopsida; Brassicales; Caricaceae
Description: long non-coding RNA (CPAP_LNC014143)
Source: RNAcentral
CCGGCUCCUCCGGCGUCUUCUCCGGCGAGGCACUCGCGACUAGUGUUUUGUGGUCGGGUGUGGGUGAAGUUAUUUAUAGCCUUCCUCUUUUAAUCUCAUCCGUCCAUCAAGAUUUAAUAUAGACCGUCCGAUCGCGAUUUAUUUGGAAUUAAAUCUGGGACGUCCAUCGCGAUGCGAUCUGGGCCAUCCGUGCCUGAUUGAAUUUGGGUCGUCCGUAUGCGUUAGAUC